RNAcentral lists this ribosomal RNA (258 nucleotides) under uncultured bacterium. RNAcentral's name for it is "partial 16S ribosomal RNA". It matches the Rfam family "Bacterial small subunit ribosomal RNA", at positions 524 to 776 of the family's 1533-position model. The record is from RNAcentral.
UACGUAGGGUGCGAGCGUUGUCCGGAAUUAUUGGGCGUAAAGAGCUCGUAGGCGGUGUGUCACGUCGGCCGUGAAAACCUGCAGCUUAACUGUGGGCGUGCGGUCGAUACGGGCAUCACUGGAGUUCGGCAGGGGAGACUGGAAUUCCUGGUGUAGACGGUGAAAUGCGCAGAUAUCAGGAGGAACACCGGUGGCGAAGGCGGGUCUCUGGGCCGGAUACUGACGCUGGAGGAGCGAAAGCCGUGGGGAGCAAACAGG